UAAAAUAAUUAAGGGCACACAAAGGAUGCCUAGGUAGUAAGAGCCGAUGAAGGACGUGGUAAGCUGCGAUAAGCCUAGAUAAGUUGCAAUCGAACGUAAGAGUCUAGGAUUUCCGAAUGGAGCAAUCUAUUAAGAUGGAGUCUUAAUACGAAAGAGGGAACCGCGUGAACUGAAACAUCUAAGUAACGCGAGGAAAAGAAAGUAAAAACGAUACCCAAAGUAGCGGCGAGCGAAAUGGGUCAAGCCUAAACCUUAAAUAUGUCAAGGAUACAGCCGUUGUAUUUAAGGGGUUGAGGGACAGAGUAGUGAAGAACUGUAAGAUAUUCAAUAUAGUGUAUUGAUGAAUUGGAAUUGUCUGGAAAGGCGAACCGUAGAAGGUGAAAGUCCUGUACAAGUAAAUCCUUACACAUAUAACUCUGCUCCCAAGUAACAUGGAACACGAGGAAUUCUGUGUGAAUCUGUGAGGACCAUAUCUCAUAAGGCUAAAUACUCUUACUAACCGAUAGCGCAUAGUACCGUGAGGGAAAGGUGAAAAGAACCCCUGGAGGGGAGUGAAAUAGAACCUGAAAUUGUGUGCUUACAAGCGGUCAGAGCCAGUAAUGGUGAUGGCGUGCCUUUUGGAGAAUGAUCCUGCGAGUUACGUUAAACGGCGAGGUUAAGUAUAACGGAGCCGAAGGGAAACCAAGUCUUAAUAGGGCGAUUUAGUCGUUUGGCGUAGACGCGAAACCUGGUGAUCUAAACCUGUCCAGGAUGAAGCUGUGGUAAGACACAGUGGAGGUCCUAACCCACCGCCGUUGAAAAGUUGGGGGAUGAGGUAGGUUUAGGGGUGAAAAGCCAAUCGAACCAGGAGAUAGCUCGUUCUCUCCGAAAUGCAUCUAGGUGCAGCCUUGAGUGUUCAAUUAUGGGGGUAGAGCACUGAAUGAUCUAGGGGGCGUAUUGCUUACUGAAAUCAAUCAAACUCCGAAUACCAUAAUUUAUAGCUCAGGAGUGAGACUAUGGGAGUUAACUUCCAUUGUCAAAAGGGAAACAACCCAGACCACCAGCUAAGGUCCCUAAUUAUAACUAAGUGGGAAAGGAGGUGGAGAUUCACAAACAACUAGGAGGUUGGCUUAGAAGCAGCCAUACCUUUAAAGAGUGCGUAAUAGCUCACUAGUCGAGAGUCUCUGCGCCGACAAUGUAACGGGGCUAAGUUAUAAACCGAAGCUGUGGAAUCCGUAAGGAUUGGUAGGAGAGCGUUCUGUAGGCCGUUGAAGGAGAAGGGUAACCGACUUUGGAGGUAUCAGAAGUGAGAAUGCAGGAAUAAGUAGCGAGAAAGGGGGCGAGAAUCCCCCUCGCCGGAAGACCAAGGUUUUCAGGGUAAAGCUUGUCUUCCCUGAGUAAGCCGGGACCUAAGCCCAGGCUAUAAUGCGUAGGCGAAUGGAAAACAGAUUAAUAUUUCUGUGCCAGUCAUAUAUUGUGAUGGAGGGACGCAGAAGGGUAUGCGCGCGGACGAACGGAAGUGUCCGUAGAAGUAUGUAGGGUGACUUAGUAGGUAAAUCCAUUAAGUUAUAUCUGAGGUAUGAUAUACAGUCGUAAGAUGAAUGCGCAAAUCCCACGCUGCCAAGAAAAGCUUCUAACGUUAAUAUUUGACUGCCCGUACUGUAAACCGACACAGGUGGUCAGGAUGAGAAAUCUAAGGCGGACAGGCUAACUCUCGUUAAGGAACUCUGCAAAAUAACCUCGUAACUUCGGGAGAAGAGGAGCCCUUGAGGGUCAGUAUCCACGCGAUACAAAGCACUCGAGGGUCGCAGUGAAGAGGCUCAAGCAACUGUUUAACAAAAACACAGGUCUAUGCUAAGCUGGAAGGCGAUGUAUAUGGGCUGACACCUGCCCAGUGCUGGAAGGUUAAGAGGAGGAGUGAGAGCUCCGAAUUGAAGCCCCAGUGAACGGCGGCCGUAACUAUAACGGUCCUAAGGUAGCGAAAUUCCUUGUCGGGUAAG
Molecule: ribosomal RNA, 1979 nt
Filed under: human metagenome
Description: bacterial LSU rRNA
Rfam family: Bacterial large subunit ribosomal RNA
Source: RNAcentral